UUAGGAUUUUCUAUGUAUAGUAUCAUGUCAUCUGAAAACAGUGACAGUUUUACUUCUUCUUUUCCAAUUUGUAUUCCUUUUGUUUCUUUUUCUUCUCUGACUGCUGUGUCUAGGACUUCCAAAACUAUGUUGAAUAAGAGUGGCAAGAGUGGACGUCCUUGUCUUGUUCCUGAUCUUAGUGGAAAUGCUUUCAGUUUUUCACCAUUGAGAAUGAUGUUUGCUGUGGAUUUGUCGUACAUGGCCUUUAUUAUGUUGAGGGCCCCCUGUUUAAGGCAGGAGUCCAGGAGCUGUGUCUUUAAAGAAGCCCUUACAGGGAACUCUGUCAGUUGUUCAAGGCUUGCUGCCAACAAACAAUUGAGAGGAAAUGUGGAGCUUCCCUGGUGGCGCAGUGGUUAAGAAUCCGCCUGCCAGUGCAAGGGACACAGAUUCAAGCCCUGGGAAGAUCCCACGUGCCAGGGAGCAACUAAGCCCAUGCACCACAACUACUGAACCUGUGCUCUAGAGCCCGCGAGCCGCAACUACUGAAGCCCAAGCGCCUAGAGGCCGUGCUCCACAACAAGAGAAGCCAUCGCACUGAGAAGCCCGCACACCACAAAGAAGAGUAGCGCCCACACACCGCAUCGAAGAGUAGCCCCCACUCGCCGCAACUAGAGAAAGCCCGACCGGCAGCAAAGAAGACCCA
Molecule: long non-coding RNA, 682 nt
Organism: Balaenoptera acutorostrata (minke whale)
Lineage: Eukaryota; Metazoa; Chordata; Mammalia; Artiodactyla; Balaenopteridae
Exons: 3
Source: RefSeq, a predicted model, not a curated record